Long non-coding RNA from Choloepus didactylus (southern two-toed sloth), 2607 nucleotides. RefSeq lists it as uncharacterized. The record is from RefSeq and is a predicted model, not a curated record. The transcript is spliced from 3 exons. Lineage: Eukaryota; Metazoa; Chordata; Mammalia; Pilosa; Megalonychidae.
UCAACCAUGUAAAAAUUGAUGAAGAUCAAUAUAAGCAUCUCUAGGGGUUCCAGUGCUGAUUGAAAAUGCCUAUUCUAUCUUCAUAAAGUUUCACUGGAAAUAAUGUAACGGAACAGACCAAAGUUUGCUCACAGUUAGCAACAAACAACCGGCUGAUAAGAGGCUGAUUCAGACAUUUAGCCGCAGUUUCCUGUAACUCAAAAGCAAUGAUUACAUUAAAUGUUAUAUAUUACAAAAAGCUCUCAUCUAUCAUAUUUUCAAAUAUAUCCAAGUUGGAAGACACUUUAGAAAGUAAUUAUUUAAUACUUACCAUAGAAGGGAAAUAAAUUUAAAUUCAUGAUUACUUUAAAUAAUAAUUGUGGUAGCAGCAAUGACCAUUUAUGGAACUCUCAUAAUACCAGAUGUUUGUUAGGUUCUUUACAUGAAUGUCCUUUAAUCCUUCAAUCCUACCUUUCAGGUAUUAUGAGCUCUACUUUUUAUAUGAAGACACAGGACUGGAGGUUAAACAGUUUGCUUAAUGAAGGUGCAUCACCAAUUGGGGUGGUCUCUGGGGGCACCUCUAGGGAGAUCAGCGACUCUGUGGGGCACUGUUUACAUGGAUUCAAAACUGCUGCCAGGCUGCCUCUUUGAUUCAGUUCCUCCCAUCUCUGGUCCAAUAUUUGGUGUUUUCCAGUUGUUCAUAUUUAUAAGUGAUGUUCUUAUUAGAAGUUCUCAGUCCAGUGCUGCUGAGGAUCUAUUUUUAUAUUUAUUCUACCAUUCAAAGAGACUUUUGAUGGAUGGAGAGGAAAAGACAUGUUCUCAGUCAGUAUCUUCAUUUGGAAGCCAUUUUAAGCACUUUAAAUAAAGCAAAUAUUCUCCCCCUGCAAUUGGUCCAUCAAUAUUUCUAUCAAUUAGCUAUCAAUUGUACUGUAGGCAAUCCAAUAUAUUUAAUCAAUUGUCAGAUUUGAAAAUUUCUUUUUUUGUUGUUAACUGAAUUAUCCAAAAAAGUUAAAAAUACAGAAAACUUACAAUCCAUAUCAAGUAUGGCACGGACUGAUUUAACAAGGUCCUUAGAUUCAAGCGCCAGGUUUGCUGGGAUAUUACGUCCAUUCCUUCCCAGAGAUGUGAGGGAAGUCUGAGAAGCUAACAUGGCUCUUCUUUCACUAAGAGGAAAAUAAAAUAAAGUUGAACUUAUUACAUAAUAAAUAACAUCUAUCCUUUGAUAAACCUCAAUUCUUGAUAAUUAUAAAUUUGUACAAAAAUAUUUCUAUUUCUGGGAAAAUGGUAUUCUUAUAGACAUAAGUGAAGUAAUUCACACAAAACAAUAUUUCUACUUUCAAUUCCUUUUUAUAUAAUAAAUAGCCUUUUAAAAAACUGGGUUGACUUCCUUUAAAAGGAGGAACUAAUAGAAGGAUAGCCUACUUCCUAAAUUAUCGCUUGGGCUUAUUUUGUGAGUGCUCACUUUAUGCUAAUAUAAUGUAGCUUUUUUUUUAGGAUUUUUAAAAAUUCAAAUUAAUGACAAACAAAUGAAACAGAAAUUUACUUCUAGAAAUAUUAAGUGUAAAUUAAGUAUGUAUAAAUUCAAUAUGUAUAUUAGCUCCUGCAAUCAUCUCUUAAACUCUAUUUAUUGCCUCUAAACAUAAAAUUGACUAGAGCAUUUAUAUCACUUUUAAAAAAUGCAACCAUCAUCUGAAAUGAACGCAUUCUGAUAUAAUUAAGAAAGCAGAGUCUUACUGCCAAAACAAAACAAAAACAACAAAAAACACAUUUUGUUAAAACUUUCACUUGAAAAGACUUUUAAACUGAUGAUAAACCAUUAUUUACAGUCUAUCUUCUAAGCAUGAUGACAUUAAUUCAUAAGGAGAAACCAAAGCAUCAGUUCUCAAAUUCAAACACAUACAUAGCCUUUUGUCUGUGCUAAAUCAUCAAGCAAGGCAUUGCAAUAUCCACUGUAGAAGAUAUAGUAUAAUAAAAAGACUGAACCAGACUUCACUGCCGUUUAACUUUCCAAGACAUUGUGAAGUUGCUUAAUGUAGCUUUUUAAAGUUGCUUUUUUUCCCAUGAAGCAGUUUAAGGGACGGGCAGGCUCUGAAGUUUAACCUUCAUUUUAAAAACCCAAACUUUUGAAUUAUUAAUCAAGGUCACAGUGACACCUGGGGCUGGGUGGGGGAUACCUAACUCAUACAACCGGGAUUUGUUUGCUGAUAAUUUUAAUAAGCAUCAUGGAAUACACAUAAUUAUCACUGAUCAUAAGCAGCAUGGAUAACAACAGAACUUGUCAGAUUCCUUCAUUAUAAGAAACAAAGCAUUACAUUAAAAUGAGCUUAGCAGUGAACAACUAUCAAUAUUCUUCUAAAUUCGAAAGUUAUGUGGAAAUAUAAGAAUAUAAUGAAUCAUCCUCAUUUAUUGAACUGCUGUUUUCAUAGUAAAGGUGAGAGUUUUCUUAUGUCUCUGCAAAUGUAAAUUGCUAGAAAUAGACAGCAUAUCAAGAACUAGUGAUAGCUAUAAUAAGAUGAGGAAAAAUUACUUUGAAAAUGAAUAAAUUUUCUUUUGUAUAUGUCUUUCAUCAUGUAUCAAAACAACCAUAAACUUGUGGUUUGAAAUAAAUAAAUCUUAUUUUUAUGUUUG